This 852-nucleotide ribosomal RNA is filed under the name uncultured bacterium. RNAcentral's name for it is "bacterial SSU rRNA". It matches the Rfam family "Bacterial small subunit ribosomal RNA", at positions 364 to 1233 of the family's 1533-position model. The record is from RNAcentral.
CCCAUCCAUGGGCCAGCCUGACGGACAUACCGCGUGAGGGAGGAAGGCUCUUGGGUCGUAAACCUCUUUUCUCAAGGAAGAAGAAAGUGACGGUACUUGAGGAAUAAGCAUCGGCUAACUCCGUGCCAGCAGCCGCGGUAAUACGGAGGAUGCAAGCGUUAUCCGGAAUGAUUGGGCGUAAAGGGUCUGCAGGUGGAACUGAAAGUCUGCUGUUAAAGAGUUUGGCUUAACCAAAUAAAAGCGGUGGAAACUACAGAACUAGAGUGCGGUAGGGGCAAAAGGAAUUCCUGGUGUAGCGGUGAAAUGCGUAGAUAUCAGGAAGAACACCGGUGGCGAAAGCGUUUUGCUAGACCGUAACUGACACUGAGGGACGAAAGCUAGGGGAGCGAAUGGGAUUAGAUACCCCAGUAGUCCUAGCCGUAAACGAUGGAUACUAGGCGUGGCUUGUAUCGACCCGAGCCGUGCCGGAGCUAACGCGUUAAGUAUCCCGCCUGGGGAGUACGCACGCAAGUGUGAAACUCAAAGGAAUUGACGGGGGCCCGCACAAGCGGUGGAGUAUGUGGUUUAAUUCGAUGCAACGCGAAGAACCUUACCAAGGCUUGACAUCCUGCGAAUCCUGGUGAAAGCUGGGAGUGCCUUAGGGAGCGCAGAGACAGGUGGUGCAUGGCUGUCGUCAGCUCGUGUCGUGAGAUGUUGGGUUAAGUCCCGCAACGAGCGCAACCCUCGUUUUUAGUUGCCAGCAUUAAGUUGGGCACUCUAGAGAGACUGCCGGUGACAAACCGGAGGAAGGUGAGGAUGACGUCAAGUCAGCAUGCCCCCUUACGUCUUGGGGCUACACACGUACUACAAAUG